CGAGUGGCGAACGGGUGAGUAACACGUGGGUGAUCUGCCCUGCACUCUGGGAUAAGCCUGGGAAACUGGGUCUAAUACCGGAUAGGACCAUGCUUUAGUGUGUGUGGUGGAAAGUUUUUCGGUGUAGGAUGAGCCCGCGGCCUAUCAGCUUGUUGGUGGGGUAAUGGCCUACCAAGGCGGUGACGGGUAGCCGGACUGAGAGGUUGGUCGGCCACAUUGGGACUGAGAUACGGCCCAG
This 238-nucleotide ribosomal RNA is filed under the name uncultured Actinomycetales bacterium. Its description in RNAcentral is "partial 16S ribosomal RNA". It matches the Rfam family "Bacterial small subunit ribosomal RNA", at positions 92 to 334 of the family's 1533-position model. The record is from RNAcentral. Lineage: Bacteria; Bacillati; Actinomycetota; Actinomycetes; Actinomycetales.